MicroRNA precursor from Oryza rufipogon (brownbeard rice), 206 nucleotides. It matches the Rfam family "MIR812 microRNA precursor family". The record is from Rfam. Lineage: Eukaryota; Viridiplantae; Streptophyta; Magnoliopsida; Poales; Poaceae.
UUUAAGUGCAACUAUAAGUUUUCGCACUCAACUUUUAUCAUCCGUCUUAUUUGAAAAUUUUUACAAUUAGUAUUUUUUUGUUGUUAUGAGAUGAUGAAAUAUGAAUAGUACUUUACUCGUGACUUAUGUUUUUAAUUUUUUUCAAAAGAUUUUCAAAUAAGACGGUCGGUUAAAGUUGGGCGUGGAAAAUCGUGGCUGCACUUAAA